Molecule: ribosomal RNA, 279 nt
Filed under: uncultured Staphylococcus sp.
Lineage: Bacteria; Bacillati; Bacillota; Bacilli; Caryophanales; Staphylococcaceae
Description: partial 16S ribosomal RNA
Rfam family: Bacterial small subunit ribosomal RNA
Source: RNAcentral
CCUUUGACGUUAGCGGCGGACGGGUGAGUAACACGUGGGUAACCUACCUAUAAGACUGGGAUAACUUCGGGAAACCGGAGCUAAUACCGGAUAAUAUUUCGAACCGCAUGGUUCGAUAGUGAAAGANGGUUUUGCUAUCACUUAUAGAUGGACCCGCGCCGUAUUAGCUAGUUGGUAAGGUAACGGCUUACCAAGGCGACGAUACGUAGCCGACCUGAGAGGGUGAUCGGCCACACUGGAACUGAGACACGGUCCAGACUCCUACGGGAGGCAGCAGGA